RNAcentral lists this ribosomal RNA (1032 nucleotides) under Variocladium giganteum. RNAcentral describes it as "LSU rRNA". It matches the Rfam family "Eukaryotic large subunit ribosomal RNA", at positions 173 to 1445 of the family's 3401-position model. Lineage: Eukaryota; Fungi; Ascomycota; Leotiomycetes; Helotiales; Mollisiaceae. The record is from RNAcentral.
GGCCCAGUCUAAGUUCCUUGGAACAGGACGUCAUAGAGGGUGAGAAUCCCGUAUGUGAUUGGUGCCGUCCCCCGUGUAAAGCUCUUUCGACGAGUCGAGUUGUUUGGGAAUGCAGCUCAAAAUGGGUGGUAAAUUUCAUCUAAAGCUAAAUAUUGGCCAGAGACCGAUAGCGCACAAGUAGAGUGAUCGAAAGAUGAAAAGCACUUUGGAAAGAGAGUUAAACAGUACGUGAAAUUGUUGAAAGGGAAGCGCUUGCAACCAGACUUGCGGGCGGUCGAUCAUCCGAGGUUCUCCCCGGUGCACUCGAUCGUUCUCAGGCCAGCAUCGGUUUCGGUGGUGGGAUAAAGGCUGUGGGAAUGUGGCCCUUCGGGGUGUUAUAGCCCACGGUGCAAUGCCGCCUACCGGGACCGAGGACCGCGCUUCGGCUAGGAUGCUGGCGUAAUGGUUGUAAGCGACCCGUCUUGAAACACGGACCAAGGAGUCUAACAUCUAUGCGAGUGUUUGGGUGUCAAACCCAUACGCGUAAUGAAAGUGAACGCUGGUAAGAGCCCGUUAGGGUGCAUUAUCGACCGAUCUUGAUGUCUUCGGAUGGAUUUGAGUAAGAGCAUAGCUGUUGGGACCCGAAAGAUGGUGAACUAUGCGUGAAUAGGGUGAAGCCAGAGGAAACUCUGGUGGAGGCUCGCAGCGGUUCUGACGUGCAAAUCGAUCGUCAAAUUUGCGUAUAGGGGCGAAAGACUAAUCGAACCAUUGACCAAACUACUAGGUGGUUAAGAGUCACAGUGAUCUAGUCCGCCGUAAGGCCGGGCGACACUCUCAAAUUGCGGGGACGUCCCGCUAGUUCUCCAGCUACCGCAGCUACCCUGAAAGGGGGGCGAGCACCGGCCCGUCAAUGGGCUGGGGAUGGUAACAGCGCUGGAGAUAGGGAUGAUCCGCAGCCAACUCCUAAGGGCCUUCAAGCCUACGGACGCAGUACACAGACUAGACGGGAGUGGGCCCUCAGGGCUUAAGCUAUAGUCGACCCCCCGCGAGAGC